Molecule: non-coding RNA, 54 nt
Organism: Salmo salar (Atlantic salmon)
Lineage: Eukaryota; Metazoa; Chordata; Actinopteri; Salmoniformes; Salmonidae
Source: Rfam
UGCAUUCACUACUGUAAGUCGCUCUGGAUAAGAGCGUCUGCUAACUGACUCAAA